RNAcentral lists this small RNA (543 nucleotides) under Pan troglodytes (chimpanzee). Its description in RNAcentral is "retained intron". Lineage: Eukaryota; Metazoa; Chordata; Mammalia; Primates; Hominidae. The record is from RNAcentral.
UAUUUGACCGUAUUUUUCCUUUUCACAUUUUUUCCUUUGAAAUUCUUUAGGACACAUAUUGAAGGAAAUGUGGAUAUUGGAGAUUUGACCUGGGAGCAGAAGGAAAAAGUAUUGCGAUUGCUCUUUGCAAAAAUGAAUGGCUGUCCUUCUAGGAAAUACAACCAGAGUUCUAGGCCUCCAGUUCCAGACUAUGUUGUUUCUGACAGUGGGGAAACAAAGGAAUUUGGGGAUGAAAGUAAGCUUCAAGAUAAAAUCUUCAUCACCCAGCAAAUUCCAAUAUCAGACUCUUCUGGUAAAGUGGUGCUACCCAGUAUUCCAAAAGAACCUCAAGAGUCUGACACAGUAAGGAGUCUGUAUCUAAUCAAACAAUGUAUAUUGUUGUCACCCUUCCCCAUGUCGCUUCUUGCUAAAUCACGGUUAUUUUCUCUACUAGUUGAGAGACUUCAGGGAUCAGUGGAAUGAGCAAUAAAUAGCAUUAGUAGAUUACAUAAAUUUUUAAAGCAAUAUCCGUACAAAUGCAUAUUAUACUAAUGCAAAUGCAAA